RNAcentral lists this ribosomal RNA (301 nucleotides) under uncultured bacterium. Its description in RNAcentral is "partial 16S ribosomal RNA". It matches the Rfam family "Bacterial small subunit ribosomal RNA", at positions 509 to 807 of the family's 1533-position model. The record is from RNAcentral.
CAGCCGCCGCGGGAAUACAGAGGGUGCGAGCGUUAAUCGGAUUUACUGGGCGUAAAGCGUGCGUAGGCGGCUUUUUAAGUCGGAUGUGAAAUCCCUGAGCUUAACUUAGGAAUUGCAUUCGAUACUGGGAAGCUAGAGUAUGGGAGAGGAUGGUAGAAUUCCAGGUGUAGCGGUGAAAUGCGUAGAGAUCUGGAGGAAUACCGAUGGCGAAGGCAGCCAUCUGGCCUAAUACUGACGCUGAGGUACGAAAGCAUGGGGAGCAAACAGGAUUAGAUACCCCCGUAGUCCCUGUCUCUUAUAC